GUGGGGAAUCUUGCGCAAUGGGCGAAAGCCUGACGCAGCCAUGCCGCGUGGAUGAUGAAGGUCUUAGGAUUGUAAAAUCCUUUCACCGGUGAAGAUAAUGACUGUAGCCGGAGAAGAAGCCCCGGCUAACUUCGUGCCAGCAGCCGCGGUAAUACGAAGGGGGCUAGCGUUGCUCGGAUUUACUGGGCGUAAAGGGCGCGUAGGCGGACAUUUAAGUCAGGGGUGAAAUCCCGGGGCUCAACCUCGGAACUGCCUUUGAUACUGGGUGUCUUGAGUAUGAGAGAGGUGUGUGGAACUCCGAGUGUAGAGGUGAAAUUCGUAGAUAUUCGGAAGAACACCAGUGGCGAAGGCGACACACUGGCUCAUUACUGACGCUGAGGCGCGAAAGCGUGGGGAGCAAACAGGAUUAGAUACCCCUGUAGUCC
This 425-nucleotide ribosomal RNA is filed under the name uncultured bacterium. Its description in RNAcentral is "partial 16S ribosomal RNA". It matches the Rfam family "Bacterial small subunit ribosomal RNA", at positions 354 to 796 of the family's 1533-position model. The record is from RNAcentral.